Molecule: ribosomal RNA, 575 nt
Filed under: Sclerotinia sclerotiorum
Lineage: Eukaryota; Fungi; Ascomycota; Leotiomycetes; Helotiales; Sclerotiniaceae
Description: eukaryotic LSU rRNA
Rfam family: 5.8S ribosomal RNA (bases 215-368)
Source: RNAcentral
GGUCAUUUAGAGGAAGUAAAAGUCGUAACAAGGUUUCCGUAGGUGAACCUGCGGAAGGAUCAUUACAGAGUUCAUGCCCGAAAGGGUAGACCUCCCACCCUUGUGUAUUAUUACUUUGUUGCUUUGGCGAGCUGCUCUUCGGGGCCUUGUAUGCUCGCCAGAGAAUAUCAAAACUCUUUUUAUUAAUGUCGUCUGAGUACUAUAUAAUAGUUAAAACUUUCAACAACGGAUCUCUUGGUUCUGGCAUCGAUGAAGAACGCAGCGAAAUGCGAUAAGUAAUGUGAAUUGCAGAAUUCAGUGAAUCAUCGAAUCUUUGAACGCACAUUGCGCCCCUUGGUAUUCCGGGGGGCAUGCCUGUUCGAGCGUCAUUUCAACCCUCAAGCUCAGCUUGGUAUUGAGUCCAUGUCAGUAAUGGCAGGCUCUAAAAUCAGUGGCGGCGCCGCUGGGUCCUGAACGUAGUAAUAUCUCUCGUUACAGGUUCUCGGUGUGCUUCUGCCAAAACCCAAAUUUUCUAUGGUUGACCUCGGAUCAGGUAGGGAUACCCGCUGAACUUAAGCAUAUCAAUAAGCGGAGGA